GUGAGGAAUAUUGGUCAAUGGACGAGAGUCUGAACCAGCCAAGUCGCGUGAAGGAAGACGGUUCUAUGAAUUGUAAACUUCUUUUGUGCAGGAAUAAAGUGGGUUACGUGUAACCUUUUGUAUGUACUGUACGAAUAAGGAUCGUCUAACUCCGUGCCAGCAGCCGCGGUAAUACGGAGGAUCCGAGCGUUAUCCUGAUUUAUUGGGUUUAAAGGGCGCGUAGGUGGAUUGAUAAGUCAGCGGUGAAAGUUUGCAGCUUAACUGUAAAAUUGCCGUUGAAACUGUCGGUCUUGAGUGCAAAUGAGGUAGGCGGAAUGUGUUGUGUAGCGGUGAAAUGCUUAGAUAUAACACAGAACUCCGAUUGCGAAGGCAGCUUACUGGGAUGCAACUAACACUGAUGCACGAAAGCGUGGGUAUCAAACAGGAUUAGAAACCCUUGUAGUCC
This 445-nucleotide ribosomal RNA is filed under the name uncultured bacterium. Its description in RNAcentral is "partial 16S ribosomal RNA". It matches the Rfam family "Bacterial small subunit ribosomal RNA", at positions 354 to 796 of the family's 1533-position model. The record is from RNAcentral.